Molecule: long non-coding RNA, 892 nt
Organism: Lineus longissimus
Lineage: Eukaryota; Metazoa; Nemertea; Pilidiophora; Heteronemertea; Lineidae
Exons: 2
Source: RefSeq, a predicted model, not a curated record
GUGACUGAGUUAUUGGGUGAGUGCGUUGUUGUGUAAAUAUGUUUUAAGUAGGUUUUAAGGUUGGAGUUUUAGCUUUAGUCAGUAGUAGGGUGGAGUUUAGAAUGGUAGGAUGUAUAUUAUGGUAGAACGAAGUUGUGGGUUCCUCCAUUGAGUUAUUAAAGACACCUGUACCUGACUGAACGUGUCGAGUCUGUUUUAUCGUGCGAACCUUUACAUGGCGACCUUCCCAGGAUCUCUCUGCGAUGUCAACACCAUGCGGUCACGACAAUAGGCUACAUCACGUCAUUGGUAUAUGAGGAGUAGCUUACGUAUCACUUUAUACAUGCAAAUCAGGAUUCCGAGUCGAUCACAACUUACGGUGGCAAGGGUCCAAGUUCGGAGUGUUCGAUCACAGUGUGUUAUGAUUGGAGUUCAGUAACCGGUGACCUCGAGGGUGCUGGCUUCCUAAGCGCGCGCAACGAUAUCGUUAACAUCUGCUAAUAGUACAUCAGGUUUGAAACGGAUGCAGCAGGACUCGGAGGUUGGCCGGACAUUGGAGGAUCAGACUGUGCCUAAUUGUGUAGUCCUUGAUUGAACAUGGUGUGUUAUAACGUGUGAUAUCAUUAUUUCAUCUUGUAUGUGUUUGUAUUGGGGCAGAGAGGUGUAUAAUAUUUCAUAAUUGCUGCAUAUAUUUAAAACUAUUUUAACUGGAGAUUGAAAGACGUGACCACCCUGCGUUUUGAUUUGAAUUUUGUACGCUAUUUAUGUAAUGUUGGUGUGUUAAGAGGAACCCACAUCUUUAGUUACAAAUUUUGAAAGUGGGGUAGAGUUGAGGUGGUUUUGCUGAAGAUAUUAUUGGUGUAUGUAUAUAUGUUCAUUUUAUACUAUAGAGUUUGAAGAUGUUAUGAGUUUG